ACUAUAAGCAUUGUUCUGUAAAAUGUAUCUUUUUAAAUACUUCUCUCCCUUUUUUCCCUCUCAUAGCUGUAAAUUUUUCAAGCAUCCCUCCUCCGUCCCAAAGGAUAUCUCAGAUAAGGCAGCAAAAAAAAUGCACGUGAGACAACAUGUUCUCUGAGACCAUGCAGUCAACCCGCAAUAAAAGAGCUCAUUUCAAUGAGUGGAAGGACACAGUGUCAAAGUACAGGAAAGCUGCCAGUGAACGUGAGGCCAGGAGGGAUGCACAUGAGGCCAGGAGGGACAAACGUGAGGCCAGGAGGGAUGAACGUGAGGAGAGGUGGCAGCAGGAAGAUCAGAGGAGGCAUGAUGCAAUGCUGGGGCUGCUGCAUGAUCAAACUGAUGUGCUCCGGCAUCUGGUGGAGCUUCAGGAAUGGCAGCAGGAUCACAGUGUCACUGCUGCCCCUGUAUAACUGCUCUCCCACCUCCCCAAGUUCCAUAGUCUCCUCACCCAGACGCAACUCCCACCCCAGC
This is a long non-coding RNA of Gopherus evgoodei (Goodes thornscrub tortoise), 510 nucleotides long. RefSeq lists it as uncharacterized. The transcript has 3 exons. The record is from RefSeq and is a predicted model, not a curated record. NCBI's taxonomy places the organism in Eukaryota, Metazoa, Chordata, Testudines, Testudinidae.